AGUAACGCGUGGGCAACCUGCCCCAUAGAGGGGGACAACAGCUGGAAACGGCUGCUAAUACCGCAUAACAAGGAGAGAGCGCAUGUUCUUUUCUUCAAAGAUUUAUCGCUAUGGGAUGGACCCGCGUCUGAUUAGCUAGUUGGUGAGGUAACGGCUCACCAAGGCGACGAUCAGUAGCCGGCUUGAGAGAGUGAACGGCCACAUUGGGACUGAGACACGGCCCAGACUCCUACGGGAGGCAGCAG
Molecule: ribosomal RNA, 245 nt
Filed under: uncultured bacterium
Lineage: Bacteria
Description: partial 16S ribosomal RNA
Rfam family: Bacterial small subunit ribosomal RNA
Source: RNAcentral